This 97-nucleotide ribosomal RNA is filed under the name Pseudonocardiales bacterium. The record is from RNAcentral. Lineage: Bacteria; Bacillati; Actinomycetota; Actinomycetes; Pseudonocardiales.
GGAAACGCCCGGACCCAUACCGAACCCGGAAGCUAAGCCCUCCAGCGCCGAUGGUACUGCACCCGCCAGGGUGUGGGAGAGUAGGACACCGCCGAAC